CGCGUCUCCUUUCGUUACGCGUCUCCUUUCAGUGGCUCGGACUGAAUACGUCGUCUUACAGAGGAGAACAGCGUUCGUCUCCCUAACUGAUGUGUUUACAUUGUUUCCUUCAUCUUCGGCAACCUCGCCGGAAGAAGGAGUUGUGGUUUUGGGGCCACGCUAGCUGUUUCCCCCCGUUUCCAGUCUGUGUGCUAAGCUAAGCUAAUUCCAUGGGAUUCUCUGAAUAAAGAACAGCACCAACGGGCUCCAACCAGAGAAGAAGAAGAAGUGUGAGGCGCCGCUGCACAACGCAGAGUCUCUAGUCGGAGACGUGGACGCCUCACAGGUCCCCGACCGGCAGCUCCUCUGAGGGGAACCUGCUGAACGCCAGCGGGGCAAAGAAAGAGAGCGGCCAACACAACCAAACCAUUGAUCUGGGCAAAAGAACACCGACGUUCGGGAGAUUGGAAUCAACGUUUGAGGUGUUUGGAUCACACAGAAGAACAUUUGUGAGACGCCAAACGGGUGAGAAGAUGCUGGAGGAGUCCUGAUCCAAUCGGACUCGCGGGAGGUGCUUUUCUACAGGUGACCUCAACAAACGAACUGAUGCUGAACGUCUGCAAAGCUGGAACUGCUGCAAGAGUUUGAAGAACAAAAUGAAUAUAAAUAAAAAUGAUUAUUUCUAACCGUGUCAAUGUCUCGACUAUAUUUUAAAUUCAUUUUGCAGCUCAUUUGAUAAAUAAAAGUGUGAGUUUUCAGGGAAAACACAAAGUUGAACUUUUGAAUGGUAG
Molecule: long non-coding RNA, 770 nt
Organism: Gasterosteus aculeatus aculeatus (three-spined stickleback)
Lineage: Eukaryota; Metazoa; Chordata; Actinopteri; Perciformes; Gasterosteidae
Source: Ensembl